AGUCGUAAAGUCUUCCCUAUUUUGGCACCCUCAAAGCCUCUGUACCUUUAAAUGUUGGUAGAGGUCGAGCACAAACAACCUAUACUGAGGAAGGCGGGAAAGAGAGGUGGAAAGGAUGCAAAAAUCUUCAGAUAAAAAGCACACCACAGCAGCUGCGGGAUCCUGAGAGCCCAAUCCUAUUUCGUGAAUGGAGUGAGAACACCUGAAAUCCUAAUACUGGCUCCUGAGAAUUAAUCAAGUUCACACUCCCUGUCUACUCUGCUCACAUCCUUGACUUCCUGGCUUUACGCACCCGGAAGAAUUAACGAAGGUGUCUUCAAACCCAGGGGUUUCCUUGUUUAUCUUGCAAUAGGACGUUCAGAAAAGCGUUAAGUUCUUCCCAUUAGAAGUUCCGUUUAGGUCACGUCCUGUGUGUCAUACUGGCAUUUGCGCGGGACUAUGCUAUUUUUUAUUAUUUUUAAAAAUUGUUUGGAAAGAUUAAACAUAUAUUCCUCUUU
RNAcentral lists this long non-coding RNA (497 nucleotides) under Mus musculus (house mouse). RNAcentral describes it as "predicted gene, 34411". Lineage: Eukaryota; Metazoa; Chordata; Mammalia; Rodentia; Muridae. The record is from RNAcentral.